UGUUGAAUAACUGAGCGGCAGCCGGUGAGAAUCUUCCUUUUAUAUCCGCGAUUAUCUGCGUGUCUGCGUGUGGAAUUUCCUGCCAUGCCAUUGGUCCAUUUCCAGUGACUUGGCGGCCUUCUAUUGGCUGAACCACCAGACACCUCUCCUGAUUGGCUGCCGGCCUGUGACGUGGGCGGCUCUUAUUGAAAACGGACCAUUGAUCGCUGCCUCUCGUUUUCUUUGCGUGACCAGGAUACAAAAGAUAGG
Molecule: long non-coding RNA, 249 nt
Organism: Scylla paramamosain (green mud crab)
Lineage: Eukaryota; Metazoa; Arthropoda; Malacostraca; Decapoda; Portunidae
Exons: 3
Source: RefSeq, a predicted model, not a curated record